RNAcentral lists this ribosomal RNA (253 nucleotides) under uncultured bacterium. Its description in RNAcentral is "partial 16S ribosomal RNA". It matches the Rfam family "Bacterial small subunit ribosomal RNA", at positions 524 to 776 of the family's 1533-position model. The record is from RNAcentral.
UACGGAGGGUGCGAGCGUUGUCCGGAAUCACUGGGCGUAAAGGGCGCGUAGGCGGCCUGAUAAGUAGGGGGUGAAAUCCUGCGGCUUAACCGCAGGGCUGCCUUCUAAACUGUCAGGCUUGAGCACAGUAGAGGCAGGUGGAAUUCCCGGUGUAGCGGUGGAAUGCGUAGAGAUCGGGAAGAACAUCAGUGGCGAAGGCGGCCUGCUGGGCUGUUGCUGACGCUGAGGAGCGAAAGCAUGGGGAGCGAACAGG